AGUGAACGCUGGCGGUAGGCCUAACACAUGCGAGUCGAACGGCAGCACAGUAAGAGCUUGCUCUUACGGUUGGCGAGUGGCGGACGGGUGAGGAAUACAUCGGAAUCUACUUUUUCGUGGGGGAUAACGUAGGGAAACUUACGCUAAUACCGCAUACGACCUACGGGUGAAAGCAGGGGAUCUUCAGACCUUGCGCGAUUGAAUGAGCCGAUGUCGGAUUAGCUAGUUGGCGGGGUAAAGGCCCACCAAGGCGACGAUCCGUAGCUGGUCUGAGAGGAUGAUCAGCCACACUGGAACUGAGACACGGUCCAGACUCCUACGGGAGGCAGCAGUGGGGAAUAUUGGACAAUGGGCGCAAGCCUGAUCCAGCCAUGCCGCGUGGGUGAAGAAGGCCUUCGGGUUGUAAAGCCCUUUUGUUGGGAAAGAAAAGCAGCAGGUUAAUACCCCGCUGUUCUGACGGUACCCAAAGAAUAAGCACCGGCUAACUUCGUG
RNAcentral lists this ribosomal RNA (492 nucleotides) under uncultured bacterium. RNAcentral's name for it is "partial 16S ribosomal RNA". It matches the Rfam family "Bacterial small subunit ribosomal RNA", at positions 29 to 507 of the family's 1533-position model. The record is from RNAcentral.